AAAUUUAAAAUCUUAUCUUUUCAAGACAACAUUUAUGUUUUAAUUCUAUUUUUAGAUUCUUAACCAUGUUUCUUUAGUUAGCGGUGCCUUCUAUGAAGUUUUCAAAGUCCAAAAUGAAAAAGAAAAUGCUAGAGUGUCAAAAUAUUUAUAAUACUUGUUUGAGGAUUACUACCUCUUUUUUAAAAUGAAAUAGAAUCGUUUAAGGUUUUUAAACAAUGGUUAAGAAAUGUAAUAUAUAUGUCAAAAGUCAUGACAAUUUUACUAAAUUAACAUUAUUUACCACUGAUGUAAUGUUUUAAAAGCAGUGUACACUGAAUUAAUGAGAUGAUAAAAUUGAAAUUAAACUAAUAAUUUUACAUUGAAAAAUGUAAGUGAUAUUCAUUUUAAAAUAAUUUUUUAUUGUUAAAGCGACAUUUAUAUUAAAACGGAGAGAUUAGACUAAAACUUUUAAGGGUUACUAUUGUCAUUUUUCUUUCUAUUUCUCUGUUUGACAUUUUUUUCUUUUUUUUGGACUACAUUUUUGUCUUCCAAGUUUUUUGUUAAGAGAGUAUUGCUAACCCAAUUUUUUUAUGUUUGAUUGAUGAGAAAUUCUAACUUGGGUACAACCCCAAUUUAAAUUCACCUGGACACACUCACAAGUAAAAAUAAAAUAAAAGAGAAAAGAACUAAAUGACGUGUCUAAAUUAUUUCUAUUUUAAUUUUUACAUAUGCGUGCUUAUGUCUAAAUUAAUUUGAUUUGAGGUUGCACUCAAAUUAGAAUUGCUCUGGAUUGAGAUUUCUAUAAUAUUCUCUGCGCCAUUGCUUUGGCUUGGUGUUAAUAUAUUAAGAAAUAACAAGUGUUCCAAGGACACUUGAUAAGAAAUUUAAAGUUAAAAAUUUAUUUUGAAAUUUAUGUAUUCAUUCAAUAUAUUGAAACAUAAAAAACAACUUUUUUUAUAUGAAAACUAUCAAUUGUUUUUAUUUUUGAGUCUUUAAUCGAUGCUUUUGGGUAGAGCCGUUUCUAUAAAAUAAAAGGUUUGACUUUCAUAGUAAAGAUAGAGUCUUAUAAGAAAAUAAGAUUUUUCUUUAAAAACAAAAGCAAAAAAAAAAAAGUUUUAAUGUUUGUUUUAUUUUAUUUUUGAAGAUAAUAAUUAUAAUAAUUGCUGAUAAAGCAUUGAUAUUUUAUACGAAUGUGUGAGAAAAAAUUACAAGAAGUGCUCUAAAAAAAGUAAAAUAAAAUUAUAUUGCAUUUUUUAUAGAAAAUAUAUAGUUAAAUAGUUGAGGAGAGUUAAAUCGAAUUGGAGAUAGUAUUACCUCAAAUCCAAGAUAAAUCACGCCUAAUCAUAAGAACUAAAAUACCAACACCCAUUACUUCCAAUAGGCUAUCUCUAUAGAGCUGAAAUAAUAAGCGCUUUACUUGUAUAUAUGUAAAAAAAAAAUUGGGCUGCAAAAUACUUAAGACUGUACUUGUUGGAUGUUCGAUGUUCGAUGUGUAUGGUCUCUUUUCUAUAGAAUAGUAGUUUGAUUCCUUUGUUCGGGAUAUCCUCACCCAUCGUGCUAAAACGUCCUCAACCCCCUCUUUCAUGGGGAUGUAACUUCUCCCACUUUCUAUUUGAAUUCUCGACAGUACCCCUUCCUACCCCAUAGCCAUAGGUUAAGUAUGUGACUUACUAAGACACCUCGCCCACAUGCCGAGCACGUGAUAAGUAUCAUGUUGCUCUGAUCCUAUGUUUUAGAAGGAAAAUAUGAUUAGUAUCUUUUCAUUGAUGGUUCGAAGGUUCAACUCGGUAGAACUCUUUGCUUCCUUCAAUAGAUCACCAUCUUUAUGAACAUUGGUUAACUAGAGCUUAGUAUAUUUUGUACGUUUUUUCUUCCUCAUCAUUUGCAUAGAAACUUUUUUGCACAUGAUUGAUAAAUUAAAGUUUGUAUUUUUUGUUGAUAAAUUAGAGUUGAAUAUGCUGUAUAGGUAAAUUAACAAACGAAAAUUGAUUUUUGACCUCAAUUUUAUUUAUUUUAAAAAGCCAAAUUCUUUAUUUACUUUUUAGAGCAAUCUUAUUUGAACAACCUUUUAUAGUGAUAAUUUAGUGGCACAAAAACAAAACAAUAGAAAGAGAAAGUAGAAUGAUAAUGUGAGUGUGAGAAAGAGAAUUGUGACAAAAAUUAUAAAAAAUGGUUGUUCAAAUAUCAUUUUUCUACUUUUUAUUGAGUUAUACUUCUAACAUACCAGUCUAGCAGUCACUAAUUAAGUACUCCUUCCUUAUCUAACGAGCGUAGCAAGCACGCGCACGUAGGCCCGUGAGUGUACGGUAAAACUUGGACAUGCUGCUAGGGGAGCGCGUAGUGAGACUGCAAAAUCGUUUAAAAGCAUGAAAUGAAUCAGAAAGAUAGCUACAUAGGCAUAGGGAUAAAAACGAUAUUUACAGCAUGCGAGUGAAGGUGCGUGAGAGAUAAAUAACAGUGGGAAAUGACGGCGAGAACAUCCAGUAUAACACAGUGACACUCAUCAAACGUCGUUUCACCGCCGUUUCACUAUUUCUCUCUCUUCAUUACACAUUCUUCUGUGUUUACCUUACACUUCACGCCAAACGCCUGCUCUCUCUCUCUCUCUCUCUCUAUCUCUCACACACACACCAUUUCUCUCUCCCCCACAUUGUAACAAACACCAACCUUUGCACAUUGUAACAAACACCAACCUUUGCAACAGCUACAUUUUAGUUUUCUCAUACUUACUCUUUGUGGUUUUUGUCUUUCUUUGUAACAAUGGAAGACGAAGGCUUAAUGCCUUUGUUCUAUGCUAGGCAGAAAAAAUGGUGGUUCCAUGCGACAACAAUGUUUCUCAUGCUGUUGCUUCUUUCUCCAUUUGCAUUUUCACUUCAGGAAGAAGGUUUGUGCUUUUGUAACUAUUAUUGUCAUGUGGAGUAACCUUUUAGUUCUUUUUUUUUUGUUCUUUCUUCUCUUCACUCAUCAAAAUCAUGUCUUGCAUAUGGAGUAUAUUUUUGUGUUUUAGUUGUAUCAUUACUAAAAAUAGCUACACUGUUUUAUGAUUUUCCUUGAUGAUUGAAACAGUCGUUUACUUAACUAUUCCCCCUUUUUUCACUCUCAAAGACUUCCAUUGCAACAGUGAUGCGAUUUUUUAAUAACUUUUUCACGGAUAAAGUUAUGUGUAUUUUUCAUUUUCAUUAUAGUAGUAUUUUCUUUGCCAAACGACUACAUAGUAUGUUUUUGUCGGCGGUAUCAGUAGAUCAUUUUUUUUUUCUGUUGGAUUUGAUGAAACAUGUUUGGCCCUUUUAUUUUUUAUUUUUUAUUAUUGUGUGCUGGAAUUAAUAAUGAGUGAUUUUCCCGUGAGUAGAAAUAAAUAAGCCAUGUGCUUUGCUAUUUUAUUUACUGUUGAACUUUCUUUCUUAAGAUGAAUCGUCAAAAUUGCAUUUUUUUAUUUUCCUUUUGAAGCUGUAUUGUUAAGAAAGCGACUUCAAUCUUUAUACUUGAUGCUGUAAAGAGAUUAACUUUUUUUAAUUGUGUUUGGUUAUGUCGUAAAACUUAUUGUAAAAUCUUGUAUUUUUUUUUAACCCAAGAUGCUACUCGAAGCAAAGAUUCUACCAACUUUAAGAAAUAUAUAAAUUAAAAUUUUUUCAAGCAAAAAGUUUUAAAACUACAGUUUUGAUUUUCUCUCUUUUUUUGUUGCCACAAAAGAUUGCCUCUUUUAUGACUAGCUUUUGAGUGCCUCAACAAUUUUCCAAACAUGCUAAGCGGCGAAUGUAGUGGUUCGAACGAUUGUUUUCUAGGAGCAGUGCAGUGUACCAAUGUUGUUUUGUAGUGGUUCGAACAGUUGUUUUCUAUGAGCAGUGUGGUAUUAAUGUACUAGUACUGCUACAUAAUUUGCAUUUAAGAAGCUUUUAACCAUUAGUUAUUAGUAUUACUUUUUUUUCGAAACAAGCUAUUAACUAUUACUAUUACCAUAAAUUAGAAGUAGUACAUCUCUUUAAAAAUAUAUGUAUGUAAAUAAUAAAGAAAUCUGUAUUUUAUAGUUGUAUUGUUUUAGAAAUAAGAAAAAAAUAAUUGUGGAUGAAGUGACAACCCUAAAGCUAACACAUCCAACCAUGAAAUCUCGAGUUCGAACUAUGUUGUUGAAUGUGUCCAACCUAAUAAUAUCAACAUCAUCAGUUAAAUUGACUCUACUUAAAAAAGGAAAAUUUGUAAUUUAGGAUUUUCUUAACUAAUGUAGUUUUAAACAGUUUUUUGAUAUGUGUCUCUUGAUUUGACACCCCGUCGCUCUUCAGGUUCAGAAUGAUGUCAUUAACAGCAAUGUCUAUAUAGUUUACUGCAAUUAGAAUUUUAUAGUGUAAUUUUGAUUAUUGAUAUAAAUAGUGUAAUUUAAAGGAAAAUUUUCCUUUAAUCCAAUAUUUUGUCAAUGUGAGGUGCUGCUUUUGACUUCCAAUUUGCACAAGCAUAGUGAUUAAUUAAACUGCCUAUUUUUUCCAAGGAUGUGUAUGCAUUGAGUCAAAAAAUAUGCAUGUAUUAGUAAUUUUCCUUUUUACUUGUUCUUUUAUAUCUGUCAAUCAUUUUUUCCCUGAUGGUGCAGUUUGCAACUAUACACAAUAUGUGCUAUAAUAAUGAUAUUAAAAGAUCCUAUGUUUGAGAUUAAUACUACCUGAUUAAGGUGAUGAAUGUUUGGUAAAUGCAUUAGGACAAGCAUUAAUGGCAAUGAAGUCUUCCUUCAACAACAUAGCUGACGUUCUCCUUGACUGGGAUGAUGUACACAAUGAUGACUUUUGCUCAUGGCGUGGAGUUUUCUGUGAUAACGCCAGUCAUGCUCUUACUGUUGUAUCUCUGUGAGUCCUUUAUCCCUCGGUCUAUAUCCAUCACUUGUCUUACUCUCUCAUUACCAACAAUUUUUUGUAUUUGUUAAUCUCUAAUGUUUUUUUCAUAUUAAUGAAGGAAUUUGUCAAGCUUGAACCUUGGUGGUGAGAUAUCACCAGCAAUUGGUGAUUUAAGAAACUUGCAAUCCAUGUAUGUCACCUCUUACUUAACAUUCUAUGCAUCUCUCAUACUUUAGAUUGAAGUCGUGUUCACUGCUUGAAAUAACACUGACCCAUGUCGUUACAUUUAAUUGAAUACUUUCAUAUUCUAAAAAUUUACUUGUGUCGAUGUGUUAGUGUCUCGUUUGUGUCUUUGUUAGUGCUUUAUUUGUUACGUUUACACAUGCACAUGUUUUUUUAAUUAAUGUUGAUUUACUAUUUGAUUUGUAUGUUAACAAUGUAUAUAUUUUUUGGUAAUGACAGAGAUUUGCAAGGGAAUAAACUAACUGGUCAAAUCCCAGAUGAAAUUGGGAACUGUGGUGCACUUUUUCACCUGUAUGACUCUUGUCUUGUUUCUUUUAUCUACUUUAUUAAUUAUUGUGCUGGAGUUUUCCUUGCGAUACAAGUGCUAAUUAUAUUGCUUAUUUUUUAAUUGAAUUUGAAGGGAUUUAUCUGAUAAUCAACUUUAUGGUGAUAUACCUUUCUCCAUAUCAAAGCUGAAGCAACUUGAGUUUUUGUAAGUCUUCAAUUAGAUAGAAUAUAGAAUUCAGUCUUUUGUGCAGUUUUUUUUCUUUCUUUUCAUUUGAAUUUGAUUAAAAUUGAUAAUUCAGGAACUUAAAGAACAAUCAGUUGACUGGUCCUAUUCCUUCCACGUUAUCCCAAAUUCCAAACCUUAAGACUCUGUAAGUUCUCAUUUUGUCAUCAUUUGUGUUUUGUGGAGCUAAGAAUGUGUUAUUUUAUACUUAUUGUCUUGCUAGUAACAACUAUAACCACUCUUUUGUCAUGUUUACAGUGAUCUUGCUCGAAAUAAGCUCAUAGGAGAGAUACCAAGGCUACUCUAUUGGAAUGAAGUAUUGCAAUACCUGUAGGUUACCUUUCUUUUAUAAUGUACAUUAUACAUUAUAACUUGGAUAUUUCUAAUAUUUCAGUUGUGGUAUGUUUUGCACAAUGAUACAGUGGAUUGCGAGGGAAUAUGUUGACUGGAAUUUUGUCUCCGGAUAUUUGCCAAUUAUCUGGUUUGUGGUACUUGUGAGUAAUCAAGCCCUGUCAUAUUUAAUUUUUUUUAUAUGUACUAAGUUUAUUCUGGACUUCUGUUUUGACUUUUGAUCUUUGUUAUUCUGAUAUGAUUUUCAGUGAUGUCAGAGGCAAUAAUUUGACUGGUCCUAUUCCAGAAAGCAUUGGCAACUGUACAAGUUUUGAAAUCUUGUAUGUCUAGUGUUUUGUAUUCUGUAUAUCAUUAAACUUUUGCUCAAGAUAUUAUUUUGUUGUAGUUCUUAAUGUAUCUUCUCAUUGAAUUUCAGUGACAUAUCAUACAAUCAGAUUACUGGGGAGAUUCCUUAUAACAUUGGAUUUCUUCAAGUUGCUACUUUGUAAGUACUACGACCAAUUGUUAUUAUUUUUCUAAUUAUUCAAAUGUUUAUGAAUUUUGUGAACCAUUUGCUUUUCCUAAUAUCUCAUAUUGAAAGUCUCAAAGAGGGUUCUUUUCAAGUUUGUUACAUUAAGUGGUGAAAUAAACGGUCAUUUAUCAUUGCGAUAUCUUCUUAGGUCACUUCAAGGAAAUAGAUUAACUGGGAAGAUACCAGAAGUGAUUGGUUUGAUGCAAGCUCUUGCAAUUUUGUAAGUGUAAUCUGAUUAUUUCAUCAUUAUCUUUAUCGUUAUAAGUAUUUUAGUUGUACAUAUUUGACUUCAUAUUACUGUUCUUUAUUAUAAUGUUUAGAGAUUCAGUUCCAUAAUGGUUAUUUUGGAUCCUUGCAUUGUUGUAGGGAUUUGAGUGAGAAUCAGUUAGUGGGACCAAUUCCUCCUAUACUAGGAAAUCUGUCUUUCACUGGCAAGCUGUGAGUGUCACUCUACCGUAGUUAAAUCUCUAUAUAGUUAUUGUUUCUUUCUAAGCGUUUUAGUUAUGCAGGUACCUUCACGGAAACAUACUUACUGGUUCAAUACCUCCCGAGCUUGGCAAUAUGUCUAAACUGAGCUACUUGUGAGUUGAUCUCCAUCUGUAUCAUCAAUAUCUUAGUUUUGUGCACGAAUUUACCAAGCUUAAUUUUUUCAGGCAAUUGAAUGGUAAUCAACUGGUGGGUGAAAUUCCGAAGGAGUUUGGGAAGCUUGAAAAUCUGUUUGAAUUGUGAGUUAUAAAAAUAUCAGUUAUACCUUCAAUAAGGAGUAUAAGGUGUGAGUGUCUGAUUCUAAUUUGCUUUUUAUAAUCUAUUCAGAAAUCUUGCCAAUAAUCACCUUGAGGGAUCUAUUCCACAUAACAUCAGCUCCUGCACAGCCUUAAAUCAGUUGUAAGAUUUCAGAGCUAGCCAACUGUGCUGGGGAAUUUAGUUUUAAUUUUGGCAUGCAUAUUGUUUACUUACUCAUUUGGUUUUCUUUUGCAGUAAUGUGCAUGGUAAUCAGUUAAGCGGUUCUAUUCCAACGACCUUUCGCAAUCUUGAGAGUCUGACUUACUUGUACGUUCUGACAAAUUUAAUAUUUUUUCAUUAGUUUUAGUACAAUUCUUAUAAUAACAUGGGUAUUUUUUUUUAUCUACAGGAACCUUUCUGCAAAUAACUUCAAAGGGAAUAUACCAGUCGAGUUGGGUCAUAUCAUUAAUCUUGAUACAUUGUAAGUUCAUGAAAUCAUAUAUCUAGACUGAUAAGUUUCACUGUAUGCUGAAUAUUAAUAAACAUAUUCGACUCACUAUUAUGUGUCAGGGACCUAUCAAGCAAUAAUUUUUCUGGACAUGUCCCAGCAUCUGUUGGUUAUCUAGAGCAUCUUUUGACCCUGUAAGAUAAUAGUUGUAAUAAACAAUGUCAUGUUAUUUUCAUUGUUUUUUGUUAGCUGUUACUGAGUACUGAAUUUGAGUGAUAUUGCAUGAUAUAAAUGCAGGAACUUGAGUCAUAACCAUCUUGAAGGUCCGUUGUCCGCUGAAUUGGGGAAUCUCAGAAGCAUACAGACUAUGUAAGUUUUGUAGAUAUUUUCUGAUUUGGAGGAUCCAAAUUCAAUAUCCUGUUAAGUUGUUUAUCCUAGUGGAUGGUUUAAUGGAUUCAUAAUGAUUUAUUCUGUCUCUAGGGAUAUGUCUUUCAACAACCUGUCAGGCAGCAUUCCUCCAGAAAUUGGACAGCUGCAAAACCUUGCAUCUCUGUACGUUUUAUUGUGAAGGGUUUUCUGCUUUUAUUUUUUGUUCAUACCUUGUUUGGAUGACUAGUUCACUGAGUUACCAUUGCUUUUUAACUUUAUCAUAGGACUUUGAACAACAAUGAUCUGCAUGGGAAGAUUCCAGAACAGCUCACCAAUUGUUUCAGUCUUUCCACUUUGUGAGUAUGCCUGUUAUGAUUUUUUGCUCUUCUCUGAAGUAGAUCCCUUGCUAAUGUAUUUUAUUUCUUCAUGUUUUAGGAACUUUUCUUAUAACAACUUUUCUGGAGUAGUUCCGUCUUCAAAGAACUUCACGCGGUUCGCAGCUGACAGGUAGUGCAGAGAAAGCUUGUAUUUUCAUAAUCAUUAAUAUUUUCUGUCAAUGACUUUUAAUGUGGGCUUUUGCAGCUUCAUUGGAAAUCCUUUAUUAUGUGGAAAUUGGGUAGGAUCAAUUUGUCGUCCUUAUAUUCCUAAAUCAAAAGGUUUGUGAAGUGAAAUCCAUUUGCAAUGUUUAUUUGUUUUUCAUAGUGGAAGUAUUACUAACCAUAUUGUCUUUUUUCUUUUCAGAGAUAUUUUCUAGAGUUGCAGUUAUAUGUCUCACUCUUGGUAUCAUCAUAUUAUUGGCUAUGAUAAUUGUCGCAAUCUAUAGAUCCAUCCAAUCAAAGCAGUUGAUGAAAGGAUCUGGCAAGAUGGGACAAGGUAUGGUGAAUAAUCGAAUGCUACUUGGAGUGUACCUUCAAGCUAGCCUUUUUUGCUCACUUUGUUUUUGAUAUUUGUGACUUUUCAGUGCCUCCUAAACUUGUCAUUCUUCACAUGGAUUUGGCAAUACACACUUUGGAUGAUAUAAUAAGAAGCACUGAGAAUCUUAGUGAGAAAUUUAUCAUAGGGUAUGGUGCCUCUAGUACUGUGUACAAGUGUGUGUUGAAAAAUUCCCGACCGAUUGCAGUCAAGCGAUUGUACAAUCAGCAUCCUCACAAUUUAAGAGAAUUUGAAACGGAGCUUGAAACAAUUGGCAGCAUUAGACAUAGAAAUCUUGUCACAUUGCAUGGCUAUGCACUUACUCCUUUUGGAAAUCUCCUUUUUUAUGAGUACAUGGCAAAUGGCUCGCUCUGGGAUCUUCUACAUGGUAAGUUUUCCCAACUGAAACAAAUUUCUGUAUUAAUUUGAUGCAGGAUUUUGGUGCUACUUGCAAGAAAAGUUUUAUGUAUUUCUGGAGUUUAGAUUUGUUAUAUCUCCGCAAAGCUGCUUUUGGGUGCUUAAAAAUGCCUUCUUUGACACAGGUCCACUGAAGGUAAAACUUGAUUGGGAAACACGGAUGAGGAUUGCUGUUGGAGCUGCUGAAGGACUUGCUUAUCUUCACCAUGACUGCAACCCCCGAAUAGUUCAUAGGGACAUCAAGUCUUCAAAUAUUUUGCUUGAUGAGAACUUUGAGGCUCACCUCUCUGAUUUUGGCACUGCAAAAAGCAUCCCAGCCACAAAAACUCAUGCCUCAACUUAUGUUCUUGGAACUAUAGGCUACAUCGAUCCUGAAUAUGCACGGACGUCUAGGCUGAAUGAAAAAUCAGAUGUUUAUAGCUUUGGCAUUGUUUUGCUAGAGCUACUUACUGGGAAGAAGGCAGUGGACAACGAUUCCAACUUGCACCAAUUGGUAUGUGUGCAAUUAUACUAUUAUUUAUCUGUUUUAGAUUUGAUAACAUACAUCAAUCGAUUAUGUGUGGAAUAUACUAUUAACUGAUAUUGAUUUUUUUAUUUUUUAUUGUUUAAUAGUCUCACUGAGUAACAUGAAUUUUCAGAUAUUGUCCAAGGCGGAUAGUAACACUGUAAUGGAGGCUGUGGAUCCAGAGGUAUCCGUUACCUGUAUUGAUUUGGCUCAUGUCAAGAAGACCUUUCAACUUGCUCUGCUUUGCACAAGAAGGAACCCUUCUGAGAGGCCUAGCAUGCAUGAAGUAGCCAGGGUGCUUAUUUCUCUACUUCCUCCACCUCCAAGUAAAGUUGUUGCAGCUGCUGCCAAGAGUUUUGACUAUGCACCUUUUGUUGCCGAGAAGGGACAGCACCACAGAAAAUUGGAUGGACUACAACCUCAGCAGGAUAACAACUUGUCUAAUGCUCAAUGGUUUGUUCGUUUUGGGGAUGUCAUAUCCAAGAGCUCUCUUUGACUCAGCAUCUUCCCAUUGUGAUUCAUGACUCGAUUAAGACAAAAGUUAAUGAAGGGUUAAAGUAAAGACUACUCUUUUCAGUGUUUUGAUAUUUCCAUAAUUAUAUAUAACCUUAAAAAAUAGAAAGGAUGACCAUUUGGGUUUAUAAAACAAUAGAAAGAAAGCUUAAGGAAUUUUCUAAUGCAUAUUGCAGAAGCACUUGUUCCUAGAUAUUAGUUGGUUUGGGUAUAAAUAUCCAUUAUUUUACUUUUUGGAUCGACGCUUAUUUUGUGAACGGUGAUAUGGUUGUAUGGUGUAAUUAAAUAGCAACACCUUAUGUGUUUAUGUUGGAAACUUUUGGCAAGAUAUUAUUUUACUUUUUGGAUCGACGCUUAUUUUGUGACCGUUGAUAUGGUUGUAUGGUGUAAUUAAAUAGCAACACCUUUAUGUGUUUAUGUUGGAAAUUUUUGGCAAGAUAUGGCUUUAGUAUUUAUGGAGUUUAUGUCCUGUGGUAAUUAAAGUUUCUUCUUGUUUUGAAAAUUUGUUCCACAACCUAUUUGACCUAUGUAGCAUCAACACUACACGGUGAAGGCGUAUUUUGUGUGAUGAGUUGUUGUUUGAUAUCUUUAGUAUAAAUUUUAAUCUACUGUGUUUAUGUGUUAUGAUGUGUGUGCGUGUAAUUGACAAACUAUGAUUGUCUUGGAAUCAGAUUUGCAGAAUGUAAAUGGCUUUAUGUCUUUGUUAUGGAAAGAAAAGCAUCUCCACUAGUGGGGUAGUGCUAUGAACUUGGAAGAAAAUAUAUAUUAGCAACACGAAGUAAAUUUCAACACAAUCACCAUUCUGCAAUCUCAACAAAUGAAAUCCUUGAAUUAUUAAACAACAACGGUUUUUCUUUUUGAUCUUUGCUGCCUAGAGUAGGUUCGGCCCAUGAUUACAAUUGGGAAUCAUCUGCAAUUGUGUAUCAUGAUUCUCUUCCCAACCGUGCUUUGGACAUGAUUUACUAUGUUAGAACACGUCUCAUCUAUCUUAAUUCAAAGAAAUAUUCUUUGUUUAACUUUGUGGAUCAAUACUCCUUUAAAAAAUACUUCAUGGAUCAAUACUGAUAUGUACUGAUUUUGUGACCUAUGAUAGGUGUAAUGAAAUAGCAGACACCUUACGUCGUACUAUUGGAAAAAAAAAUUACAUGAAAAGGUUUUAGUAUUUUAUCAUUUAUAUUCUACCUAAUUCAUCCAUUAGAAAAAAAUGUCUUGUCUUAAUUCAAGAUUUUUUCUAAGUUGUUUGACACGAAAUGUUCUUCCUAUAGCACAAACAUACAUGGUGCUUGUUGGUGUCCGAUAUUAUAGUUAUAUUCAAUCGCUUUCAAUUUAUAUAAAUUAUUGUGUUUUGUUUUCCAUAUAUAAUCUUUGAUUUUGUAUGAGAAUCAGGUUAAAAAACUCUAGUUCAACUUGUUGCUUUCAUUUUGGGAAGGAAUCUAUACACCUCCACCUGUGGAUUAUAGCUAUGAGACAUGAGAUAUCUUAAAAGAAAAUACAAUAUGAUAGUUUACAACACACAAGGAAAUUCUAAUACAAUCAACAUUCUGCAAUCUCAACAAAGGAAAUCCUUUAAUGGUUACUCUACAGCCGCAUCCGUGGUUAUCUUUAGACUAGUUUCAGCCUAGGGUAGUAGUAGUACUUUUUCUUCAACAGCCCUUCAAUGAUACUGCUGCCUGUUACAACGGAGAAGCAUCCAAAAGCUUGUUUUCUUGUGGUUUUCUGCAUGUUGAAGCAAAAGAGUAAAUGUUGGUAUUCAAAUUUACUUUUCUGCAAGAGCAUGCAUAUUCAUAUAAAAAUUUAUCCAUACUUAAAAAGUAACCAAUUUAGAUGCUUAUUUGAAUAAUCUCAUCGAGAAAAAUUGGUUCUUGGUCUGACUUUGUAUUUGGAUUAUUUGGUUUACUAACUUGAGUAUGUGUCGUCUGAUCUUAAUUCAACGUUUUAGAUUAUGUGAUGACUAUGUCAAAUAUGUAACAUAAUCCAAAGAAAUGUUUAUUGACAUAAAAAAAAAAAAAAAAAAAAAAAAGAGUUACCUUUGGUGGAUCCCAUUUAUUCAUUUGAGUUGCUUUUCUUAUGCAGCUUCUUCUUCUGCUCAUCAUAAUUAACUCCCCAAGUGUUGGUUGCUUCCUUGACAUAUCACAAGUAUAAUCUUCAUUCUCAAAAUCAUUUCCCUUUAGUUCCACCAAACUUGAACUUAACUUUUCGUUGUAACCAAUAUCCCUUUCAAGAAAACUAGACUUUGGUGGAAACAAAGGAAAUAGACAUUCCAAAAAAGCAGAACCAGUUAAACUUGACCUUCCAGUUUCAUAGCUGCUUAUGCUACUAUCCGUCUCCGACGAAGCUGGAGAGGAUGGAGUUUGUUGUAGUGGAAUGGCUGUAGAGAGUUUAGUUGAUGAUACAAGACAAUCUGCAAGCAAAGAAGGAACUGAGUUAAAUGAUUCAUUUGUAUCAAAACUAAAUGAUUCAAGGUCCAAGCUAGUUAUGCUUUCAUUCUCAUCAACAUGUGAGAAAUUAGGGAGGGGUAUUCCAGGUUUUUCUUCCCAAACAAAGGGAAUAGAGGCAAUUUGUUUGAGUGGAGUUUUUGGUAAUUGGCAAAAUGACGAGUCCACUGGCUUCCAAUCUUUUAUAGGAAUGCCUGGUUUUGUUUCCCAAAUGAAAGGAAUUGAAGGUGGUUCCCUAAUAUGUUUCUUCCUUUCUUUUUCAUUCAUUUUUUAUUUUAUUUCUCUUAAUGUUUUUGAGUUAGUCCAUUUAUAGUAUUUGUCUUUGUGAUAUAGUAGUGGUUUAGUGCCAACUUUAAUUUUACUAAAUCAUUUUGUUUUCAUAAAGAUUAGGCAUACCUGCUCUAAAUCACCACUUCCUCUACUAGGUUUUGGUAUGUGGCAAGGCAGGUAGACUUUGAAUAUUUAUUUUCAAACCUUGGAAUACGUAGAAAGAGAUGCUUUAUAGACUUUAUUUAUGGCAAAAGGAUUUCAUCAUUUUAAUUAUGUGUUAAACUUCCACUCAGUCGUGGCAUUUGCAGCUGAUACUGGAAGUCCAAGGAUCUGUUUGGUAAAAAUAAGCUAUUAGUUAGCUGAUAGUUGAAAAGUUAGCUGAUAGCUGAAGACUGAUAGCAGAUAGCUUAUAGCUGAAAAGCUUGCUUAUUAAAAAUAAUAUGUUUGGUAAAAUUAGCUGUUGAAGUGGCUGAUAAGUAUAAAAUGGGCUAAACUACAGUUUUGACCCCCUAACUUUACCAAUGUUGCGAUUUUGGCCCCCUAAUAAAAAAAAAUGAAAAUUUUGCCCCCUAAAUUUUAGUCCCUUUGCAAAAGUGACCUUUUGGCCAAUUUUGACCUGGUCAACGCCUAGGUGGCAUGCCACGUGUGUAAUUACAAAUUAAAAAAAAAUAAAAAAAAUCCACAUAAUCAUUUUCUAAAUUAAAAAAGAAAAUGAAAAAUAAAAAAAAAUAGAAAAGGAAGGAUGUAUGGGUCAUUUCACGUGUGUUUCAAAAGAGCAACAUUGGAAAUGGAAGCACCAUCGUGACAGCCACCACAAGUGGUGCAAAACAGACCAAAAUAGCCUCAAACUCAGCCAACAACAACAGCAUGAGUCUUUGUCCAGAACCAAGUUCACCUUCUUCCGUUUAUCUUCCACCUCUUCUUGAUUCAUCUCCUUACACCGCCGCUAGCAUCGCCACAUUCAACGGCGACCAAAUGUGUAACUCCAACAACACUGAUCUAAAGGAGCACGUGUCCUGUUUCUCCACAACAUCUACAACAUCAAAUGUUGUCGUUGCCCACAACAACUUCAGUAACAACAACAAUGGAAGCUUUGAUCUUGUUUCUCCUUCUAUGAAUGCUACAAUUGAUCCUUUUGCAAGCUUAAUCCCAACAGAAGCAAAACUCGCCUCAAAUUACCCGUUUUCUUCAGAAUCUUGAGGUUGAACAUUGGAACGUGAAGGAGAAUGUGAAGUUAUUCUGUUUUUGUGAGUGGUGAUUUUGUGAGAGGAUGAAGAAGAGGGUUUGGGGCGGUGGUCGUGGGGUUUGGAGGAGCGUGAACAAGGGGUUUCGUUAUCAGCGUUGAUUUCGUUGUCGGCGAAGCUGAGAAGUUUGGGUUUUUUAUUUCAGGUUUAGGGGCAGAGGGUUUGGAAGGGACGGUGGUGGGAGUGUCGUUGUCAGAGUUUGUGUCAGUGCAGCGACGGAAAUUGCGAAGUUUGGCGGAGGACAUGGCGGUGGUUUGAAUGAUGAUGAUGAAGAUAUAUUUUCUUUUUUGUUUUUUUUUAUUCAAGUAUUACACAAGUGGCUUUUUGAAUAAAAAUAAAUGGGAAAAUACACAUGUGGCAUGACACCUCCGCGUUGAUCCGGUCAAAAUUGACCAAAAGGUCUCUUUUGCAAAGGGGCUAAAACAUAAGGGUUUAAAUUUUCAUUUUUUUUAAUAGGGGGCCAAAAUCGCACCUUUGUGAAAGUUAGGGGGUCAAAACUGCAGUUUAGCCUAUAAAAUGACAUGUUUUUUUUUUAAUAUACAUAUAGACACACACUUUUUUUUUGUAAUGUAUUUAUUUUUUUAAUAUUUUUAAUUAUAGUUAAAUAUGUUUUUGAUCCCUAUAAAUAUUCAAACUUUUGGUCUUAGUCUCCAUAAAAAAAUUCUUCGACCUUUAAUCCUAAAAAAAAAUCACCAAAAAUUUUGAUCUCUGCUUUAUGAAUCGCAAAAAUAAGAGAAAGGUGGAAACAAAAUGUGAGUUAGAAUAUAUAAAAUUAGGCUAGUUAUUUUUUGUGUGGUGUACAGCAGGUAGGGUUGGGAAUAGGUCAGGCCAGGCUUUGAAAUGCCUGAGCCUGGCCUACGAAAAAUUAUACAAGCCUAAGCCUAGCCUAUGGCCUAUCAUAGGCCGUUUUUCUUGGCCUGGUCUGGCCUAUUAAAAAGCAUGGUCUGACCUGAUAGCCUAAUUUGAAGCCUAUUUAACAUUAUGGUCAUCAAAUAGUUCAUUUUACAUACUAAAUAGGUUAAACAGGCCUUAAAGCCUACUUAAAAGCCUAUUUUACUAAAAACAAAUUUUAACAACAUAAAAGGCUGUUUAAAAGCCUAUAACAACAAAACAACAAAUCACAAUGAAUUUGGAGCUAAUAAUAAUAAUCUUUCGUUAGUACUCAUCAAUGUUUAUCAACCAUUUGAGUACAAUUCACCAAAAAAUAGAAAAUCAUAUGAUGACGAGUAGCAGAAUUGAACACUUCUAGCAGUUUACACACUUUCUCAACUUUGUCCCAUUCUUCAAAUGAAGGGGCAUGAUCACAGUGAGGCUCUCUUUCUUUGUAGGCUGAAAAUACAAUUUUAAAUCUCAAUAAAAAAUUAUUUCUAUUUAUAUUGGGAUUGAUUUUUUUUUAGCGGACAAUGGGAAUUGGGAAUGAUUUUUUGUUGAUAUAUAUUAAUAUAAUAAUAAUUAGGCCUAAUUCAUAAAAUAAAUAAAUAAAAUAGGCCUAUUAGGCUUAACUUAUGGGUAUAAAUAGGCCGGCCUAUCAGGCUUAACAAGGCUUUUUUAAAAGCCUGAGCCUGACCUAUUUUAUCAAAUAGACUUUUUAAAAAGCUUUAACCUGGCCUUUUUAAUAAAUAGGCCAAGCUAGGGCAGGCUUAAAGAGGCUAGGCCGGUCUAGCCUAUUCGCAAUCCUAACGGCAGGUUAGUUAUAGCAAAAUAUAAAGCAUUUUCUUAUAUAUAUAUAGGUGAGAAUGAUAGGAAUGAAUUGCAGCCAUUAGAUUAAAAGUGAAGGGCUGAGAUUAAAAGAUUGGUUAAGUGAGUUGUUGUACCCAAUCUCAAAAUUAUUGUUCGUCCUCUCCCUGAAAUUCUUCCCUUGAAUCACUCAUCUUCUUCCUCUAAUUACAAUAAAAAACCCAUGACUCAAAUUGGCACACAAAUUUGUUUUCUCAAUUAAUUUUUGUUUUUGGGAAAAGAACAGAUUAAUAAAUCUGAAAUUUAUUGUUGAACUUUUUGCUCAUCUGGUGUCAUUCCGCUUACAAUCAUAGCACCAAAUGUGUUCUUUUUUGUUUCGAUUUCAAUCAAAUUUUAAACCAACACAUUGAGACAAGUGGCACAGAGAUGAGAGAAGAAGUAUAAACUAUAAAGAAAAAGAAAUAAAAAAAUAAAAAAUAAAAAAGACGACGACGAUAGAGGGAAAGAAGAGUCCUGCACAAAACCAUCAGUGAUAUCAAACCUGCAGCACCUUGAAAACGCAGGAAAGAACCCCCAAAUCAAAACUAUAAUUGGACUGUGCAGCUUUAAUUGAUUACAAAUGAACACAAUAGAUUGAAAAUCAAAUAGAUAAAAAUGCCAAUCCCUAAAUCUCAAAUACAAGUCAAGUAAUUAGAAGAAAAUAGAUUGUAACUGAAACGAAGUAUAAAGCAGGUAGAUGAAGGAAUGAAAGCUGAAACUGCAACCCACUUGAAAGGGAGAAUAAGAAUCUGCGCGUGCAUAAAAAGGGAGAACAAUAAUUUUAAUUUUAAGAUUGGGUGCAACAACUCAUUUAACCCAUCUUUUAAUCUCAGCCCUUUCAUUUUAAUCUAAUGGAUACAAUUUAUUCCUACCAUUCUCACAUAUAAAUAUCAUUCUCAUGUGAUAUGCUAUAUAUAUAUAUAUAUAUAUAUAUAUAUAUAUAUAUAUAUAUAUAAAGUACUCCUUAAAAAAAACAACGUGGCAGUUUUUUUAAGGGAAAAAAUGGGGCGGUUAUAAAGAUGAAUAUGGAUAGUUGUUUAAUUAAAAAAAUAAUUAAUUUAAAUUAAUAGGGUUAAAGUUGGAAGAAAAUAUAAAAAGCUACCAGCUAUAAGCUACUUGAAAUAGCUUAUCAAAAAACGUUAUAAGCUCAUGAAAAAAGCUUGUUACCAAACACGUCACGUUUUCAUCUAACGAGCUUAUAAGCUAAUCCAACAAGCUAUAAGCUAGCUUUUUAAUAUGGGUAAAAUGCUAUAUAAGUGAGACAAAUCUUACAUCAUCUAUAAGUUAGUUUUAGCUAUUUGAUUAAUAAAUCUCAUCAUUGGAUCAACUGAAAUAUGAUAUGAAUUAUUGAUAUAAUGGUGAAAAAAAAUUAGACAUGGUGCACGGCCAUUUUUUUUGUUGGUACAAACUGCAUAAGAAACUAGGUAUUGAACCAAAUCAAUUUGGCAACAAUCAUUCACAUAGUUGAAUUUGCUUAUGGUAGGAUGGAAAUUGCGACGACAUGGACAAAAUUGCAUUUUGGCAACAAUAAUUCACAUAAUUGAACUUGCUUAUGAUAGGAUGAAAAUAUUCUAAAACAUUUCUUUCCAUUGUGAGGUCGUCCACCACCAAACCCAUCUUCACAAAUUACGUGUAUUGGAUUGAAUCCUAAUCAUUUUGUUCAUGUAUAUUUUAAGGACAGGUACAAACACAAGAAGUUGAGCAAUGGAAAAAUCAAUUUGUGGAGAGACGGUGUUUGUUUGAAGAACUGAUAGAUAUUGGAAGAGGUGGCCAAUCCCACUAUAUAUGUUAAGUAGCGCUGGACAAAAAACCCAUUUCCGCCCGAAACCGGAAAUUCCGCACCACAGCAAACCGAAUCGGUCGGGUCACGCGGGUUAAGCGGAGCUCUGGAGGCGGAUUGGGCUGGGCAUGCACGGGUCGGUCCGGUCCAAGUUUAUUAGCCCAUUGAAACCCAAUACCGACCGACCCAGUUUAUAUUUAUCAUAUUAUUUUAUUUGCUCAUAAAAUUCUGUUGGCUUCAAACGAUGUCGUAUUACCUUUGAUACAAAUACUCCUUUCAUUUUCACACUUCCUCCCUCAGUGAUAACAAAAAACCCUAGCAUAGCAGCAGCCGCAUAACACCGUUGAACAGACUCCUCUUCACCUUUCGUCCUCUGUUUCUCACUCUGCCGUUCCAUCACUCUCUUCACUCCGACGAAUCUUCGAUCAAUCUCGUUACACUUCAGGUUAUAUGUUUGUUUCCGAUUCCAAUUCGUCUAAGAUUUAAUUUUUUAUCUCAUAAUCUUUUAUUUUUUUCCUAGAUCUUUCAUGGCAUAUACUAUACUGUCAAGAAAUUGUGGUUUAUCAUGCAUUUUUCGUCACUGAUUGAUAAGAAGUAAAAUCUAGGGUUUCUCUUUUGUGCUUUUCAAUGUAGGGUUUUAGACUUCUUAUGAUUUUGCACUGAUGAAAGAAGUAAACAAUAUUUUGGACUAUAUUCUGGUAUUCAAAAGUGUAUUUUUUAUAUUUGUUAACAGUCUAUGAUGAACAAAACUCAUCUACUCAUUAUUUACUAUUGUUUAAUUAGUUUGUUUGUUAUUUCUUAUCUUAACACAUUUUUUCCUAUGUUUUUAUUUCUAUUUCAGCUUAGUACUUGUAGAUAAGGAGGAAGUUGAUUUUAUCACUGAUUGACAAAAAGGUAAAAGUUGCUAAGCUAGAGUGUUUAUAUUUUAUAUUGUUAAAUGAUUUCAUUAUAUUUAAGUGAUGAAAGCAAAUUUCUAACUUAUGGCUUUUAUGUUAUUGGAGGCUUAGAUAGUUUGUAACUUGAAAGAUGGAUGAAGGAGAUGGCCAAGGAAUUGGUACGUUUUUUUCUAUUCUCUCUGAUUUUCAGUAAGAAGAAAUGGGGUAGUUGAAUCAUUGUGUAGUAGAAGAAAUACUUUAUUUUUUUACUAAAGAAGAAAACUCUUUUUUAUCUUUCAGUNNNNNNNNNNNNNNNNNNNNNNNNNNNNNNNNNNNNNNNNNNNNNNNNNNNNNNNNNNNNNNNNNNNNNNNNNNNNNNNNNNNNNNNNNNNNNNNNNNNNAAAAAAAAAUUAGAAACCCAGAAAGUAGGGUUCUUUCAUCACCAUUCAUGCCUCUUCUCUUCUCUCACAUUCCAAUCCAUUCUCCUCUUCAUCCUUCCCACUCGAAUCUCUUCUGUCAAAUCAAAUCCAACAUCACAAGAGGCUCAUCUUUCAAUUUAAGAUCUUCCUCUUCUUUUUCAUUGUUAUUGCUUUCGCCACCGCAGUUAGGUUAUGCAGUCACAGGCCAACAAAUUCCACACUACCAGUAACGAACAUAAAUGAAAAAAUAACAUACAGAAGGCCAAAAUACAAGUCUGAAUUACCCCAACACACACAAACGUUGUUUGAAAAAGGGUUUGGUUAAAGAGAGAAAAGGGAAAAUUAGUGGCUAUGGUGUGAAUAGAGAAAGAAAGUGAUUGUAAUAAUGAGAACGAUGGUGAGAAAAACUCUAUAUUAACAAUAUAUGUUAUAGCCACUAAUUGGGUUGUUUAUUUCUCACCAUCCUUAGUUGCUUAUUGAAGAAAAACUAAUAUAGUGGGUUGUAAAUUUUGCUUGCUGUUGAUUGUAAUGAUAAGUGAAUGCUGCUUAUUGUUUAAUCGAAUUUCAAUUCAUUCUUCUUCGAAGAAAAAAAAAUUGGGUUGUUUAUUUUGAUUUUCUGUAAAUUGAAUUGAAAUUGGAUUGGAUUUUUUUUCUUUUUUCUUUUUUGCAAAUUUGUUCAGAGAUGAGGAUAGGGAAGAAGCUAGAUAGAAUUAUGAAGAAAGGAAAGAAAAAUUGGUUGAUGAUGAUUUAUGAGUUUCUGGAUUUUUUUUUUUUCUUUUUAAGAAUGUUGAUGAAGAUGAUGAAGAAGUUGAGGGGGAGAACGAUGAAGAAAAGGAAAAAAAGUUAGGUGUUGCUGGUACAUCAUAAGAUAAAAUAGACAUGUAUAAUCUAAUGGUUCUUUUAAAAAAAAAAGAUCAAACGAUUUAAAUUAAAAUAUUUAAUAGGAUCUAUGGUGGACCACUCUAAAAGUAAUCCAUCAUAGACAUUUGGGGUUAAACUUAACAGCCAAGGAUUUAUUUGACAGACGGAGAUACAAUUGAGGGACCAAAACAUGACUUUUAUUAGUUAUGGGACAAAAAUCAAAACUUGAAAUUAAUUAAAGGACCAAAUGACCUAUUAAGCCUAUAUUUUGUCACUCUUUUUUAAAGAGUAAAUAGUCAAUUACCCCCAUAAAAUUGUAACUUUCGUCAAAACCCCCCCUGAAUUUUGCAAAAUGUAAAAAACCCCCCUGAAAUGGUCAAGCGUCUGUCAAUUACCUCCUCCGUUAAUUUCCUCCAUCCAACAUGCUGAUGUGGCCGUUAACUGCCACGUGGCGCUGACACAUGGUCAGGAAAGUCAUGCCACGUCAUAGGGGGGUAAUUGACUAUAUUUUAUUUUAUUUUAUUUUUGUUCGAAAUUUUCCUUCAUAUAUUAUAUAAAAUAAAAUAUAGUCAAUUACCCCCCUAUGACGUGGCAUGACUUUUUUGACCAUGUGUCAGAGCCACGUGGCAGUUAACGGCCACAUCAGCAUGUUGGAUGGAGGAAGUUAACGAAGGGGGGUAAUUGACAGACGCUUGACAAUUUCAGGGGGGUUUUGACGAAAGUUAUAAUUUCAGGGGGGUAAUUGACUUUUUACUCCUUUUUUAAAACUUGUCUCUUAAACUAUUUAUAUCUCGUCUGUUACUGCCUCACUUUAAAUCCAUACACAUCACUCUUUUUUCUAAUACUACUCUCUUUGAUAUGUUGUACGUAUCAAACGAUCAAUGUUUUACCGUUAUUUUUAUGUAACAAUGAAAUUUAUUUACCUUAUGUCUUUAUGAAUAUUAAAAAAUUAAAUUUUAAUAUUCAUUAAUUAAUGUAACAACACGUCUUUAGAUCUUGUAAAAAAACACGUCGUUAUAUAUAUAUAUAUAUGCGCGCGUAUGUAAAAUAACAUUUAUUAAAUUAUAUUUUUAUAGGUUAAAUAAACUACUACUAUUUUUUUAUUAUUUGAUAAAAAUAAAAUAAAAUAAUAAUAAUAAUUAUUUUUUUAAAGAAAUUAUUUAUUUUUAUUUUUAUUAUGUUACACUAAUUUUGCAAUAAAAAAAGUCUAGAGAAUUGUUGUUCCCACAUUACAUAUGGCUGUGCCACACGAGUAAAUGACGUUUUUGUUCCUGCGGUAGUUAACUACCGAAGUUUAGAACCGGCUGCAGCUUCGGCAGUUAACUGCCGACGAAAAAACGAAAAAAAAAAAACCUCGGCACUUAAGUGCCGAAGAACUCAUAAUAUUUUUUUUUUCAAGAUUCUCUUAGACUUUAACCUCCACAAUUGGAAAUAUUAAAAACUUACUAUCUCAUGAUUUCAUUCAAGAUAAAUAUAAAUAAUGAAAACUUACUACUAACAAUAUAUUAUAUAGAAAGAAAUGUGUAAUGCACUAAUGCUACACAUGCAAUUAUGUAUAAUUAAAUAUGAAAGAUGUUAAGCCUAUUGUGAUUAGUAGAAUUAUUUAUUUACUUUCACAAAAGCUAAUGAAGAAUUGCUCCUGUUGAUAAUAUUGUCUUUGUCUAAUAUGGUCCACUGUAUACUACUCCCUCCGAUCUUAUUUAUAAGAGAAGGUUGACUUUUUAGAUUUGAAUAAUAUAUGUAUCUAGUCAAUAAACCAAAUACAUAAAUUAUUUGAUGUAUCUAAAAAGUAAAUUGUCUCUUGUAAAUAGGAACAGAGGGAGUAUAUUGUAUCAAAGUGGCAAGCACAUUAUUUCUGAAAUAUGUAAGAAACACUUCAGUGUAGUGUGGAAUUGAAAGUCUAAGAGAAUCUUGAAAAAAAAAUAUUAUGAGUUCUUCGGCACUUAAGUGCCGAUGUUUUUUUUUUUUUUUUUCGUUUUUUCGUCGGCAGUUAACUGCCGAAGGACCUUCGGUAGUUAACUGCAGCCGGUUUCAAACUUCGGUAGUUAACUACCGCAGGGGCAAAAACGUCAUUUACUCGUGUGGCACAACCUUAUGUAAUGUGGGAACAGCAAUUCUCAAAAGUCUAUACCCCUUUACCCCUUUCUAUCUCGUACAAACUUAGAGUAUAUUUUUAUAAUUUUCUUUUUAUUUUAUUUUUUGGGCUUAAUUGCACUUUUGGACUCCUAUCUUUUCAAAAGUUGCGGUUAUGGAUCCAUAACUAAUUUAAAUACAAAUCAGCCCCCUAUGUUUUGAUUCUUUGGCAGUUUUGGACCCCAGUACAUUGUUGAUUCGGUCAACGCUGACGUGGCACCCUAAGUGAGGUGCCACGUGUCAAUAUUUUUUUUGUUUUUUUGCCUUGGGGGUCCAAAACUGCUAAAGAAUCAAAACAUAGGGGGUUGUUUUGUAUUUAAAUUAGUUAGGGGUCCAUAACCGCAACUUUUGGAAAGAUAGAGGUCCAAAAGUGCAAUUAAGCCUAUUUUUUUGUCAUUUAACUUUAUUCCACACACACCAUAUUUAUUUCAAAGUUAAUUUUCUCUCUCUUCACCAAAGAAAUCUAGAAAACUCUCUCAUUCUCAAACAAGCCCUAGCCGCCGCCGCCUCCUCCCUCCUUCAGUGUGUCUCCGGCAGUCGUUACAUUGCUCCACCAUCUUCAUCCUCUCCUUUUCAUCUGUAAUUAUACUCUAUCAAAUUUAUUUCAACUCAAAGAUGAUUUUAAAUUUCCCUACGACCAUCUUUUCGGCUAGAUCUNUAA
This 22672-nucleotide long non-coding RNA is filed under the name Medicago truncatula (barrel medic). RNAcentral's name for it is "long non-coding RNA (MTRU_LNC007773)". Lineage: Eukaryota; Viridiplantae; Streptophyta; Magnoliopsida; Fabales; Fabaceae. The record is from RNAcentral.